GGCCCGGCGUCUGGCGCCUGGGGUAUGCAGGCGGCCGUCGUGAGCUCGGGAUCUUCUCACCUCUUGCUCAGCCCCGGGGUACGCCGCGCUACGCUGGUUGAGAGCCGGUGUAGGCGCUUUUCACUACGGGGAAGCCGGUCCUCCCAUCCUCCGGCUCCCUCUGUCGGCCGAGGGAGGGACGAGGCCCCUGCGUCACGAACGAGCUCCAGUUCAAAGCCCCCCUUUCAGCCCUGCAGUCCCCAGACUCUUUCCUGGUCUCCAGCGACCCCGCUGCAGCCCCACUUGAGGAACCUUUGGCCUCGAGCUGGUGGGCUGCAGUGGUGAAGGACUUUCCAAGCAUACAGAGCGUUCCGAAUUCAAUCCCUACCUCCUUCUCCCAGAACAGUCAAAUACCUUCUCCCAAAACAAUCAACAAAAUAAAAACAAAAAUCCAA
Mus musculus (house mouse) is the source of this 434-nucleotide RNA transcript. It is a transcript of the gene named predicted gene 3960, with no coding region annotated. NCBI's taxonomy places the organism in Eukaryota, Metazoa, Chordata, Mammalia, Rodentia, Muridae. The transcript has 2 exons. The record is from RefSeq and is a predicted model, not a curated record.